RNAcentral lists this unclassified non-coding RNA (387 nucleotides) under soil metagenome. Its description in RNAcentral is "partial contains 5.8S ribosomal RNA, internal transcribed spacer 2, and large subunit ribosomal RNA". The stretch from base 1 to 120 matches the Rfam family "5.8S ribosomal RNA", at positions 35 to 154 of the family's 154-position model. The record is from RNAcentral.
GAUGAAGAACGUAGCGAAAUGCGAUAAGUAAUGUGAAUUGCAGAAUUCAGUGAAUCAUCGAAUCUUUGAACGCACCUUGCACCCUUUGGCAUUCCGAAGGGUAUGCUCGUUUGAGUGUCAUUGUACUCUCACACUCUCCGAUCCUAUGGAUUCGGGGAGCGGUGGACUUGGGUGUUGCUGCCUUUCCCUGUGGCUCACCUCAAAUGCGUCAGUGCACCUCUUGGUUGGACAUAGUACGGCGUGAUAAGUGUCUUCGCCGGCACCUCGCAAGAGGGUGGCCGAUCGGGAGCUCUGCGCUUUCAAACCGUCUUCGGACAAUUUCUGACACCUUGACCUCAAAUCGAGUAGGACUACCCGCUGAACUUAAGCAUAUCAAUAAGCGGAGGA